CGAUCAGCAGGUUCUGAGAAACAAUACCUGUCUCUGAGCAACUGAAAGCACGGAAACUGCUUGGAGAGUAAAGACUAGUAUCAGUAUUUCCACUGAGAGAGUUGAAAUGACAAUCAUUGAAGAGAUCAUUGCAGARCAGCACAUGAAAUUAAAAAAGACAUUUUCCAAGGUUCUCUGCUGUUGCUUUCAAACUGACUUGCAAGAAUCCUCUCAGGAUAGCCCAUCAUCAUUAUAACAAGUGACCUGAUAAAGAAGACGGACAAUUUGUAGCUUCAUUCUGUAUCACAAGACAAGCUUUAAAUUUUAAGUGCUGAUUCAAUAAGUGAAAUACCAUUAUAUUACAUUGUGAUUUCACCUGUA
RNAcentral lists this long non-coding RNA (360 nucleotides) under Apteryx rowi (Okarito brown kiwi). RNAcentral describes it as "lncRNA (ENSARWG00000001819.1)". Lineage: Eukaryota; Metazoa; Chordata; Aves; Apterygiformes; Apterygidae. The record is from RNAcentral.